Molecule: long non-coding RNA, 335 nt
Organism: Xenopus tropicalis (tropical clawed frog)
Lineage: Eukaryota; Metazoa; Chordata; Amphibia; Anura; Pipidae
Exons: 3
Source: RefSeq, a predicted model, not a curated record
AAUAACAAAAGUGAUCUUGUUAAGCAGUUUUAGAGGUUUUUAGGGUAAGAAAGGGUGUCUUAGUGCAUAAUGUUGGGGGGGGGGUGGUUCAUUGAUACCUUAUUGGUCUAUUUUUUUCAGAAAUUCUAACCAUGGUGACCAAUUUUUACGCCAUUCUUUGAUUGUUGGGGAGGAGGAUGACUUCCAUUUCUGGGGAAUCAGCGAUUUUGCUGCCUGCAAGAGGUGUAAGUUGCUCCAUCUGGAAAAGGAUCCUGGUUCCAUACUGGGUUUGAAGUCUGCGUUGUACAUCAGUGGCUGUAGUACAUGAGGGUAAGUUGAUAAGUUAUAGACUUCUU